RNAcentral lists this ribosomal RNA (255 nucleotides) under uncultured bacterium. RNAcentral's name for it is "partial 16S ribosomal RNA". It matches the Rfam family "Bacterial small subunit ribosomal RNA", at positions 524 to 776 of the family's 1533-position model. The record is from RNAcentral.
UACGGGGGGAGCAAGCGUUGUUCGGAUUUACUGGGCGUAAAGGGCGCGUAGGCGGUCGUGACAAGUCACUUGUGAAAUCUCCGGGCUUAACUCGGAACGGUCAAGUGAUACGUGUCGGACUAGAGUACAGAAGGGGCAACUGGAAUUCUCGGUGUAGCGGUGAAAUGCGUAGAUAUCGAGAGGAACACCUGCGGCGAAGGCGGGUUGCUGGGCUGAUACUGACGCCGAGGCGCGAAAGCAUGGGGAGCGAACAGG